GUUUAGUUAUAGUGUGAUUUUCAUCAUCUAUGACGGUGAUCGAGGAGUUAUCAAAGCUUGCUGAUUUCAUGCGUUAAGCAUACGUAGUACUCACCGACGAAGAUAUCGAUGAAACAACCAAUUCCCGAAGACCUUUUACUUUCCUCAACGUCGUUGCUCUCAGCAACAUCAUGCUGAAAAUGACGGCUCAAAACCAAAUACCACACAUGAACAAACUCAGAGACAAGACAACUAUCUACUCUUCCUAGAAAUUUCACCUUCCAUUAUUGUUAAUCAAAGAGGGUGAGAUUUCCAAAGGGCAAGAAAGGGAAGCAAGUAGAUGUAGUAGUAGAGCAAGUAGUUAUUGAAGAGAAUGUGAAUGACUUGUUGAACCCCGUUGUUGCUGCCAAAGAGCGGGUGAAACGUAGGAAUGAGAUCACCGUUGAACUCUUGAGUGGGGAGAAUGAAGGUAUCUCGAUAUCGGCUUCUGAAGUGACUUAUGAGUUUAAUUUUUUAGGUUUAUCUUUGAGUUAUUGCGUUGAUCGAUACUAGUAAUAUUCUUAGCAAAAGAUUUAAGUUAAAUUCAUGCAGAAUAAGUUAUUUGAGUUUUAAACAAAUAAUUAAAUAAAGUU
Molecule: long non-coding RNA, 611 nt
Organism: Vicia villosa (hairy vetch)
Lineage: Eukaryota; Viridiplantae; Streptophyta; Magnoliopsida; Fabales; Fabaceae
Exons: 3
Source: RefSeq, a predicted model, not a curated record